Molecule: long non-coding RNA, 212 nt
Filed under: Musa acuminata (dwarf banana)
Lineage: Eukaryota; Viridiplantae; Streptophyta; Magnoliopsida; Zingiberales; Musaceae
Description: long non-coding RNA (MACU_LNC010328)
Source: RNAcentral
GUGUCACAACCCUAAAAAUAUACAUGAUAUUUUAAAAUCUUUCGUCACAACUAACCCAGGAUCCAAACACACAUUUGAGGUCACUAAGAAAACAUUCAAAUCAAAAAUUUCGCUUCUAUAAUCUACCAAUUCAUAUCCCUGUGCAAUUCAUAAACAUAGCACACAUCACUCGAAAAUUUAUACCAUCUGAACCCGACUCAUCAAAAUAAAAA